UUGGUGAGGUAAUGGCUCACCAAGGCGACGAUCGGUAGCCGAACUGAGAGGUUGAUCGGCCGCAUUGGGACUGAGACACGGCCCAGACUCCUACGGGAGGCAGCAGUGGGGGAUAUUGCACAAUGGAGGGAACUCUGAUGCAGCGACGCCGCGUGGGGGAAGAAGGUUUUCGGAUUGUAAACCUCAGUAGUCAGGGAAGAAAGAAAUGACGGUACCUGAAGAGUAAGCUCCGGCUAACUACGUGCCAGCAGCCGCGGUAAUACGUAGGGAGCGAGCGUUGUCCGGAAUUACUGGGUGUAAAGGGUGCGUAGGCGGGUCAGCAAGUCAGGCGUGAAAUACCGGGGCUCAACUCCGGGGCUGCGCUUGAAACUGUUGGUCUUGAGUGAAGUAGAGGCAGGCGGAAUUCCUAGUGUAGCGGUGAAAUGCGUAGAUAUUAGGAGGAACACCAGUGGCGAAGGCGGCCUGCUGGGCUUUAACUGACGCUGAUGCACGAAAGCAUGGGGAGCAAACAGGAUUAGAUACCCUGGUAGUCCAUGCCGUAAACGAUGAUAGCUAGGUGUGGGGGGUUAUAUGCCAUCCGU
This 581-nucleotide ribosomal RNA is filed under the name uncultured bacterium. RNAcentral describes it as "bacterial SSU rRNA". It matches the Rfam family "Bacterial small subunit ribosomal RNA", at positions 249 to 844 of the family's 1533-position model. The record is from RNAcentral.